Long non-coding RNA from Protopterus annectens (West African lungfish), 1091 nucleotides. RefSeq lists it as uncharacterized. Lineage: Eukaryota; Metazoa; Chordata; Ceratodontiformes; Protopteridae. The record is from RefSeq and is a predicted model, not a curated record. The transcript has 6 exons.
UCCAGUCAGAACGGGCAAGGCUGUGGGAAAUCUGAUGGAUUCAUAUUGCUAGCACCUGUCUCUUGUAGGUCUGGAUUAAUAUCUCUGUUUUGUCAAUAUGACAACACCUUGAACUGAUGUAGUAGCUGGAAGGCUAAAGGCAAACAAGCUUCUAUGGUCUGCUAUGUGAAAGGAACACUUUGCUGAUCUGCACAGAGGGAUUAUGCAAUCAUCAAAUAAAUUCCAGAAAGUUGAAUGCUGCUAUCUGGAGAAGGAAGAAGGAUAUGGCAGAUGGUAGCAGUUCAGAUGAAAGAUAACGACCAGACAUUAAAUUUUGAAUGAAGAGUGUAAGCUACCUGAGCUCCAGUUUAAAAGAAACUCCACAGCAAAGAAGACUCCUAUUUCAGAUAUUUAUUGAAGCUGUUCUUUGAGCAAGAAUGAAGGGAGAGUGACUGUGUCCUUGGCUACUUUUAUUUGAUACUGUUGGGGCUGGUCUUUUACCAAAAAAGGGCAGAUGUUUCAAGGCUGUGAUGGAAAUCAUCUUACUAUGACAGCUUAAUAUGAAAAUCCAAGAGGAAUGGAAAUCUUGAUGAAGCUCUUCUGAUUUCUUCAUGUACACUCAUGAUAAAUGGCAUAAUAUACAAAUGAGAAGUCUUGUCUACCAAGGAAAUAACAAUGGUGGCCACCCUAGCACUGCUGCGAUUGUGCACACGGCCGCAACCGACAGUACAAGCCUGUGAAUAACCGCUAUGCCACCAGGAAAACAAACAGCUAUCAAAAACCGCAGCAACCAAGUAAAAAUCCACUAGACCACCAUGGAACAACGUAAAAUCAGCAAAAUGACAAGAAAACGCACAAGCCUAGACGAAUACGCUGCUAAACUACCAGGGAACCCAAUUAAGAAGAAAGAAGACCUAUAAGUAGACGAAUAACCAUUAAACCACCAUGGACACAAGUACAGGAAAAAAAGAAACCAUGAAAACUCAAAACUAAUAACCUACAAGAAAUUAAAAACACUGAUCUCCCUAAACUACCCCCUGUAAUAUGUCUACACUACAUAUCUACACAAAACUGUCAUAUGCCUUUUCAUCAACACACCAUAAUCUGCAAUA